RNAcentral lists this ribosomal RNA (510 nucleotides) under Triticum aestivum (bread wheat). RNAcentral describes it as "partial small subunit ribosomal RNA". The record is from RNAcentral. Lineage: Eukaryota; Viridiplantae; Streptophyta; Magnoliopsida; Poales; Poaceae.
AUGAGCAGGAGGCCCAGGGAGAAGGAGCCCUCCUUGCUGGUCUCCGACGGCCGGCGUCGGCAGCACAACCGCCUCCUCCAAGAGGAGGCCCUCCUUGUCGGCCUCUCCCGUGCUGGUGCCAGGGAAGCUCAAUGCUCUCGGCAAGGAAACCAGGGAGCAGGCGCACAAUCAAUGGCAAGCCGAGUCGACAGCCUAUCAAACGCUAACCCAUCUCGCGGUGCGCCACCGUCCGUCGCGGCCGCCCCCGCCACCUCCCGCCGCGGCCGCCGCCCCCAUGUCCCACCGCGGUCGCUGCCCGCGCCAAUGACCCCUUCUCCCGCCGCCGCGCCACGGGUCCACUUCGCCAUGAGCUCCAGCGCCGACCAUCCCGCCGCUGCUCGUGAUCCCCUCUUCCAUCAGCUCCACUUCACCGGAACCGAAAAUCAGCCAAGAUACACAACAAACAUAUCAACCGCAGCUAUCUGCUAUGCGCACAUGUGCGAAAACAAACUAAUUAAUCCUUUGCCGUAG